UGUACCCAAACCAUGUGUGCCUAUUGAAUUAAUCUCCCAUAAAUAGUAUGGAUGCAUCAGGAGCUAAUGUAGCAUUAAACAGAUCUAUAACAUUCAAGGAGAAUUUCCCAAUAAGGUCAGAAAUAUAUUCAACUGUUUUUUCCAGAUUUCAGCAGCUCUCAAUUUUGUGUGUCACACAGAAGAGAGGGAGAGGAUGUAGUUAAGACCUGCUUAAAAGAAAAGUGGCAUGUUGUAGAAAGAAAGGAUCUUGUCCUUAUAUAGCCAGGCAGGUACGUUUCAGAUGUUUGUUUUUCCUUUUAACUAACACUUCAGCCUUAAGGGACUGCAGCACUGGCCGUAGCCAGCUGUUCUAUCCCUCCCUAAUUUUCCCCCUUGGGGAGAUGCUGGCAUUGAAUACGAAGCAGAAGACCCUCUCACAUUCUAGGCACCGAAAAAGAAAAAAAGUGAACCAAUCCACCUUUUUUAUUCUUUCUCUCCUUCCAUCUUACAUAUUUAAUGCAGUUUAAGCUUCCCUUGUUUCAAAAUUUUCUAUUUCAUUUCAUUAAAAAAAACCCCACUAAUUCUCACAGACUCGGUCUAGAAUAAUACCAGUCUUAUUCAUGCAGUGAAACGUGUUAUUGAUCUUAACAACAAAACUCAAGAACCAAGACCAAAAGCAUCAGUGCCUGUUUAGAGGUGUUGAAGUAUAGUGUUUUUAAUUUAAUUCAAUGUUGUUGCUUUAAAAGCUUAUUUGGAUUUGCAGAAUUAAAAAUUGGACCGUUAAGAUGUGCCUGUGUUAACCUCCAUGAUGCCAGGAAUCAAGAUGUCACAGAUGCCGUAGCUAAGGAAAGCCUCUGAGGAUAAAAACAAAAAACCUAUCCUGACAAUAACAAAAAAUGAAAGGAAUAAGCAUCCCAUCCUCUCCAUCUUAGCAUAAGAUGUGCAUAUACAGGGCACUGCAUUUUAUUUAGAAUUGGUACUGUACUUGCAUUCUGAUGAGACACUCCUUGUUUCAUUUCCUUCCUUUGGUGCUGAGUAUGUAUGUAUAUUACUUAAGCCAUCUUAGCAUUAUUUAGGUCACUAGAUUUAAGAGCAGUCUCCAUAGUCUUUCACUGCCUGAUGUGUAGAGCGAUGCAGGGUAGCAGCAAAACAUUUUCUAAUAGGCACUCAUCUUAUGAGCUCUUAAGGAUGGAGCAUUUUGUAACGUAAUCUGUACAGCAAAAUAGCUUCCGUUUAUGCCUUGCAGAUAUAUUUAGCUCUAACCUUGCUUGUGGUUAAGCAGGCAGCAACACAGAAGCAGACAGCUGAUUCUGCAGCCAGACCCUCUGCGCGCUUGCGAUUUUGUCAAUACGCUCAGCUUUUCGAUAAUCCGGUGCAGAAUGAGAGUUUAAGCAAUGAUGAUUUCGUCUGUUACAUGCUUGGCAAUUACGUGCUUAACAACAACAAAAAGCAAAUUACACGGGUUAAGAAAAAGACAGCAAUAGGGAUACAUAUCUAGGACCUAAUACGUACUAUAUGAAAUCUUCUUCCGUCAAUAAGAUAUUUCUGCAGAUAUUCUUUCCAUCCCUCCCUCCAGCGAGUGAAAGGAAUCUUCUGCUUUUCUCGGUAGAUGGAGACAGCCACUCUGCAGACAGGUUUUGGGUGUUUUUUUUGCUACAGAAUCUGAAAUACUUGAGAUUGUAUCAUUGAAGAACAUGGAGCUUGACUGAGCAGUGCAGAGUAACGAUUCGUCUUGCAUCAUCAAUUGAUGACAUUUUUUUCUUUGUUCCCUCCCACCCAGUUGCUCUAAGAUUCAGCAGCCGAUUUGCAAUAUCACUUAAACAACAUUAAUCAGAUACUGCAUUUAAGGUGAGCGGUUCCUUGCCUCCCGUUUAACCAGAUCUGUGCUGCUGUAGUGUGUGCAUCAUGCUGCUGCUGCGAGCCUAAAAUGGCAGGCAGGAUUAAUGUUGCUUGUGCUGUCUGCAUGCUGUGGAUACAGAAUUCAUUAUGCCAUGCCUAGUAUUUCUAAUGGGAGUAUGUAAAUGGUCUGUGUGCCAUAUCAUGUCGUAGUGAAGACUUGGGCUUCCUGAUGGGCAUAGCUAUUUAAACAGCCACCUUUAGCAUUCAAUUUCAUUUUCAGUGCAGUGGGCUGUUAGUUUAUCGUCGCAUUCUAAACCAGCAUUAGCUCUAUUUUAUUUUUUAAAAAAUUGGAUUUAUUUUUUUUUUUAGCGAACUCUGCUUCCAGGUGGGGUCAGUCUUAUUCCUCUUGCCUUUACUGCUAUUUAAAUAAUAGAUGUUGUAUUGUUAAUUAAUGGCAAUAUCAAAUUUAAAGCCCUUGGAAGUGACAUAUUUAUUAUGCAGGCACGUCCAAUCUAUUUUUAACUCUUACGCAGUCUGCGUGUGUUGUGCAGUGGGCUUUGGCUGCUGAGUUUUUCCUUUUCAACAGGGAUAGCACUGGGCUGAUUUUCAACAAAUGUGACAAGUGGCCUUUGCAGUGGUCAGCUUUGAACCCUCAAAAGGGAAAGGGGGGGUGAGCAGGAAGCCCUUUGCUGCAGCUUAUUAAAAAAAAAACACCCACCACCUUGGAUGAGGGCAUCUCCUCCCUCCCUGACAGACGCACACACUUCUGUCCUUCCCAUUGAUAAGUUCAGCUAUCUUGAUCACAGUCCAUUCAAGCAAGCUGCUUUUUGAAAAGAGCUAUUUAUUUUAUUUUUUUGAGACGUCUAAGAUUUCAGCGUCUCUCCCUCACUUUGUAUACAAAUGGCUGGGUGCAAUGGCGUGCUAAGACUUCAUUAAGACAUAUACACAGAUUUCUUCUUCAGGCUCCAGCCCUAUGGUUGCCGGCUGUUUCGGAUACAGUUGUUGAUAUUAUCUCUGUCUUUGGGAGCGCUUCAUUUUCUUUGCAGCAUCAUUUGCAGGCAUGCAAAUUACAUUUUGUGUGUGUGUGUA
Molecule: long non-coding RNA, 2907 nt
Organism: Podarcis raffonei (Aeolian wall lizard)
Lineage: Eukaryota; Metazoa; Chordata; Lepidosauria; Squamata; Lacertidae
Exons: 3
Source: RefSeq, a predicted model, not a curated record